GACGAACGCUGGCGGCGUGCUUAACACAUGCAAGUCGAACGGGCCUGUCUUCUUUUUUGGGGGUGGGUUGAGUGGCGAACGGGUGAGUAUCACGUGAGUAACCUGCCCUUCGGUCCUGGAUAACCGCUUGAAAGGGCGGCUAAUACGGGGUGGUCCGGUCGGUCCGCAUGGGCUGGUCGGGAUAGAUUCACUGUUUUUGGUGUUUCGGCGGGGGAUGGGCUCGCGGCCUAUCAGCUUGUUGGUGGGGUGAUGGCCUACCAAGGCGGUGACGGGUAGCCGGCCUGAGAGGGUGGGCGGCCACACUGGGACUGGGAUACGGCCCAGACUCCUGCGGGAGGCAGCAGUGGGGGGUAUUGCACAAUGGGCGGAAGCCUGAUGCAGCGACGUCGCGUGAGGGAUGGAGGCCUUCGGGUUGUGAACCUCUGUUUCCGGUGGUGAAGGCCCUGUCCGUGUGGUGGGGUUGACGGUAGCCGGGGAUGAAGCGCCGGCUAACUACGUG
Molecule: ribosomal RNA, 499 nt
Filed under: uncultured bacterium
Lineage: Bacteria
Description: partial 16S ribosomal RNA
Rfam family: Bacterial small subunit ribosomal RNA
Source: RNAcentral